CUUGGUCAUUUAGAGGAAGUAAAAGUCGUAACAAGGUUUCCGUAGGUGAACCUGCGGAAGGAUCAUUAAAGAGAUCAUGCCCUCACGGGUAGACCUCCCACCCUUUGUUUACAAUACCUUUGUUGCUUUGGCGGGCCCGUUUGGCCCCGCGCUGAACAACCGGCCCCGGCUGGUCAGUGCCCGCCAGAGAACCGAAAACUCUGAAUUAAAUGUCGUCUGAGUACUAUGUAAUAGUUAAAACUUUCAACAACGGAUCUCUUGGUUCUGGCAUCGAUGAAGAACGCAGCGAAAUGCGAUAAGUAACGUGAAUUGCAGAAUUCAGUGAAUCAUCGAAUCUUUGAACGCACAUUGCGCCCUCUGGUAUUCCGGGGGGCAUGCCUGUUCGAGCGUCAUUACAACCCUCAAGCUCUGCUUGGUAUUGGGCUACACCCGACUGGGUGGGCCUUAAAAUCAGUGGCGGUGCCAUCUGGCUCUAAGCGUAGUAAUUCUUCUCGCUCUGGAGAUCUAGGUGUUUGCUUGCCAGCAACCCCCAAUUUACCAAAGGUUGACCUCGGAUCAGGUAGGGAUACCCGCUGAACUUAAGCAUAUCAAUAAGCGGAGGA
This 602-nucleotide ribosomal RNA is filed under the name uncultured fungus. Its description in RNAcentral is "eukaryotic LSU rRNA". The stretch from base 239 to 392 matches the Rfam family "5.8S ribosomal RNA". The record is from RNAcentral. Lineage: Eukaryota; Fungi.